RNAcentral lists this ribosomal RNA (447 nucleotides) under uncultured bacterium. Its description in RNAcentral is "bacterial SSU rRNA". It matches the Rfam family "Bacterial small subunit ribosomal RNA", at positions 355 to 825 of the family's 1533-position model. The record is from RNAcentral.
UGGGGAAUUUUGGACAAUGGGGGCAACCCUGAUGCAGCGACGCCGCGUGAGCGAUGAAGCCCUUCGGGGUGUAAAGCUCUUUCGGCAGGAACGAUAAUGACGGUACCUGCAGAAGAAGCUGCGGCUAACUACGUGCCAGCAGCCGCGGUAAUACGUAGGCAGCGAGCGUUGUUCGGAAUUACUGGGCGUAAAGAGUGUGUAGGUGGUGUCGUAAGUUUGGUGUGAAAUCUCCCGGCUUAACUGGGAGGGUGCGCCGAAGACUGCGAUGCUGGAGUAUGGGAGAGGAAAGCGGAAUUCCUGGUGUAGCGGUGAAAUGCGUAGAUAUCAGGAGGAACACCUGCGGUGUAGACGGCUUUCUGGACCAUUACUGACACUGAGACACGAAAGCGUGGGUAGCAAACAGGAUUAGAUACCCAUGUAGUCCCUGAGCGGGCUGGCAAGGCGCAU